Molecule: ribosomal RNA, 496 nt
Filed under: uncultured bacterium
Lineage: Bacteria
Description: partial 16S ribosomal RNA
Rfam family: Bacterial small subunit ribosomal RNA
Source: RNAcentral
AUGAACGCUGGCGGCGUGCCUAAUACAUGCCAGUCGAGCGAACGGACGAGAAGCUUGCUUCCCUGAUGUUAGCGGCGGACGGGUGAGUAACACGUGGAUAACCUACCUAUAAGACUGGGAUAACUUCGGGAAACCGUAGCUAAUACCGGAUAAUAUUUUGAACCGCAUGGUUCAAAAGUGAAAGACGGUCUUGCUGUCACUUAUAGAUGGAUCCGCGCUGCAUUAGCUAGUUGGUAAGGUAACGGCUUACCAAGGCAACGAUGCAUAGCCGACCUGAGAGGGUGAUCGGCCACACUGGAACUGAGACACGGUCCAGACUCCUACGGGAGGCAGCAGUAGGGAAUCUUCCGCAAUGGGCGAAAGCCUGACGGAGCAACGCCGCGUGAGUGAUGAAGGUCUUCGGAUCGUAAAACUCUGUUAUUAGGGAAGAACAUAUGUGUAAGUAACUGUGCACAUCUUGACGGUACCUAAUCAGAAAGCCACGGCUAACUACGUG